RNAcentral lists this ribosomal RNA (577 nucleotides) under uncultured bacterium. RNAcentral's name for it is "bacterial SSU rRNA". It matches the Rfam family "Bacterial small subunit ribosomal RNA", at positions 117 to 652 of the family's 1533-position model. The record is from RNAcentral.
AUUGAUAACCUGCCUUUGAGAUGGGAAUAACUGCGUUUCGAGCAAUCGGAACUACCGAAAGGGCUGCUAAUACCCAAUAAUACUAUAGGCGCAAAAGCACUUGUGGUCAAAUGCUAGGAAUUCUGUUCCUUGUGCUUAAAGAGGGGUUAAUGUCCUAUCAGCUAGUUGGUGGGGUAAUGGCCUACCAAGGCAAAGACGGGUAGCCGGCUUGAGAGGGUGGUCGGCCACACUGGGACUGAGACACUGCCCAGACUCCUACGGGAGGCUGCAGUCGAGAAUCUUUCGCAAUGCCCGAAAGGGUGACGAAGCGACGCCGCGUGUGGGAAGAAGGCCUUCGGGUUGUAAACCACUGUCGGGAGUUAGGAAAUGCAGGUGCGUUAAUAGCGCACUUGCUUGACUAAGGCUCCAGAGGAAGCCACGGCUAACUCUGUGCCAGCAGCCGCGGUAAUACAGAGGCGGCAAGCGUUGUUCGGAAUUAUUGGGCGUAAAGAGCACGUAGGCGGCCUUGCAAGUCAGUUGUGAAAGCCUUCCGCUUAACGGAAGAACGGCAUCUGAUACUACAGGGCUUGAGUACGGG